GGGUUAUGUUGUGGACAUCCUUCGGGAGGGAAGCGAUAUGACCUAGCGGCGGACGGGUGAGUAACGCGUGGGCAAUCUGCCCUAAAGCUCGGGAUAACAGUGGGAAACUGCUGCUAAUACCGGAUGACUUUAUCGGGAGGCAUCUUCGGAUAAAGAAAGUGGUCAAUCAUUGAUUGACCAGCGCUUUAGGAUGAGCCCGCGUCCCAUUAGCUAGUUGGUGAGGUAACGGCUCACCAAGGCGACGAUGGGUAGCCGGCCUGAGAGGGUGAACGGCCACACUGGGACUGAGACACGGCCCAGACUCCUACGGGAGGCAGCAGUAGGGAAUAUUGCACAAUGGAGGGAACUCUGAUGCAGCAACGCCGCGUGAGUGAAGAAGGUUUUCGGAUCGUAAAACUCUGUCAUUGGGGAAGAAUAAAUGACGGUACCCAAUGAGGAAGCCCCGGCUAACUACGUGCCAGCAGCCGCGGUAAUACGUAGGGGGCGAGCGUUGUCCGGAAUUACUGGGCGUAAAGGGUACGUAGGCGGCUAUAUAAGUCAGGUGUGAAAUACCAGUGCUUAACACUGGAAUUGCAUUUGAAACUGUGUAGCUUGAGUGCAGGAGAGGAAAGUGGAAUUCCUAGUGUAGCGGUGAAAUGCGUAGAGAUUAGGAGGAACACCAGUGGCGAAGGCGACUUUCUGGACUGUAACUGACGCUGAGGUACGAAAGCGUGGGUAGCGAACAGGAUUAGAUACCCUGGUAGUCCACGCCGUAAACGAUGGAUACUAGGUGUAGGGGGUAUCGACCCCCCCUGUGCCGGAGUUAACGCAAUAAGUAUCCCGCCUGGGGAGUACGGUCGCAAGACUGAAACUCAAAUGAAUUGACGG
This 867-nucleotide ribosomal RNA is filed under the name uncultured bacterium. Its description in RNAcentral is "bacterial SSU rRNA". It matches the Rfam family "Bacterial small subunit ribosomal RNA", at positions 59 to 916 of the family's 1533-position model. The record is from RNAcentral.